AGCGAACGCUGGCGGCAGGCCUAACACAUGCAAGUCGAACGAACCUUUCGGGGUUAGUGGCGGACGGGUGAGUAACACGUGGGAACGUGCCUUUAGGUUCGGAAUAACUCAGGGAAACUUGUGCUAAUACCGAAUGUGCCCUUCGGGGGAAAGAUUAAUCGCCUUUAGAGCGGCCCGCGUCUGAUUAGCUAGUUGGUUGAGGUAAUGGCUCACCAAGGCGACGAUCAGUAGCUGGUCUGAGAGGAUGAUCAGCCACAUUGGGACUGAGACACGGCCCAAACUCCUACGGGAGGCAGCAGUGGGGAAUCGUGCGCAAUGGGCGAAAGCCUGACGCAGCCAUGCCGCGUGAAUGAUGAAGGUCUUAGGAUUGUAAAAUUCUUUCACCGGGGACGAUAAUGACGGUACCCGGAGAAGAAGCCCCGGCUAACUUCGUG
Molecule: ribosomal RNA, 434 nt
Filed under: uncultured bacterium
Lineage: Bacteria
Description: partial 16S ribosomal RNA
Rfam family: Bacterial small subunit ribosomal RNA
Source: RNAcentral